RNAcentral lists this transfer RNA (72 nucleotides) under Heterocephalus glaber (naked mole-rat). It matches the Rfam family "tRNA". Rfam says of the family: Transfer RNA (tRNA) molecules are approximately 80 nucleotides in length. Their secondary structure includes four short double-helical elements and three loops (D, anti-codon, and T loops). The record is from Rfam by way of RNAcentral. Lineage: Eukaryota; Metazoa; Chordata; Mammalia; Rodentia; Bathyergidae.
UGCAAUGUGACUCACUGGUAGAGCAUUUGCCUAGCAUGUGGGAGGCCCUGGGUUUGAUCCUCAGCACUGCAA